CCAGAGAAUUUAGCAGAGAUGCUUUAGUGCCUUCGGGAACUCUGAGACAGGUGCUGCAUGGCUGUCGUCAGCUCGUGUUGUGAAAUGUUGGGUUAAGUCCCGCAAGAGCGCAACCCCUAUCCUUUGUUGCCAGCGAUUCGGUCGGGAACUCAAAGGAGACUGCCGGUGAUAAACCGGAGGAAGGUGGGGAUGACGUCAAGUCAUCAUGGCCCUUACGAGUAGGGCUACACACGUGCUACAAUGGCGCAUACAAAGAGAAGCGACCUCGCGAGAGCAAGCGGACCUCAUAAAGUGCGUCGUAGUCCGGAUUGGAGUCUGCAACUCGACUCCAUGAAGUCGGAAUCGCUAGUAAUCGUAGAUCAGAAUGCUACGGUGAAUACGUUCCCGGGCCUUGUACACACCGCCCGUCACACCAUGGGAGUGGGUUGCAAAAGAAGUAGAUAGCUUAACCUUCGGGAGGGCGUUUACCACUUUGUGAUUCAUGACUGGGGUGAAGUCGUAACAAGGUAAGCGUAGCGAG
RNAcentral lists this ribosomal RNA (520 nucleotides) under uncultured bacterium. Its description in RNAcentral is "bacterial SSU rRNA". It matches the Rfam family "Bacterial small subunit ribosomal RNA", at positions 988 to 1509 of the family's 1533-position model. The record is from RNAcentral.